GAUGAACGCUAGCUACAGGCUUAACACAUGCAAGUCGCGGGGCAGCAUGGGGGUUGCUUGCAAUCCCCGAUGGCGACCGGCGCACGGGUGAGUAACGCGUAUCCAACCUGCCCUUCACCACGGGAUAACCCGGCGAAAGUCGGACUAAUACCGUAUGUUGUCCAUUGACGGCAUCCGAUUUGUACGAAAGGCUUGUCGUUGAGGGAUGGGGAUGCGUCCGAUUAGCCAGACGGCGGGGUAACGGCCCACCGUGGCUACGAUCGGUAGGGGUUCUGAGAGGAAGGUCCCCCACACUGGAACGGAGACACGGUCCAGACUCCUACGGGAGGCAGCAGUGAGGAAUAGUGGUCAAUGGGCGUAAGCCUGAACCAGCCAAGUAGCGUGCAGGAGGACGGCCCUAUGGGUUGUAAACUGCUUUUAUGCGGGGAUAAAGUGGCCCACGUGUGGGCUUUUGCAGGUACCGCAUGAAUAAGGACCGGCUAAUUCCGUG
This 490-nucleotide ribosomal RNA is filed under the name uncultured bacterium. RNAcentral describes it as "partial 16S ribosomal RNA". It matches the Rfam family "Bacterial small subunit ribosomal RNA", at positions 28 to 507 of the family's 1533-position model. The record is from RNAcentral.